UUAAGACCGUUGGAGGUUGAGUUAGCGUGAGGUUUCUCCUAUUGACUUCUAACCGACGUUAGACGAGCGUUUGCGGUAGGUUAAUAUUUACCGAAAUCGUCGGAUUUUCUUCUAUGUCGUCGAAUUGUCAGCAUAUAUUUUUGGCUUUGUUCAUCACGCUUAGUAGCUCGAAUUCAUAGAUUUGCAGGUUUUUGUGAAAUCUGGAUUUGGAGAAUAGUUUAGUGAUUUUAGAUGAAAUUAUACAUGUUGAACUGGGAUUUGACUUAGGAGAAAACUUGUUAAA
This 283-nucleotide long non-coding RNA is filed under the name Ananas comosus (pineapple). RNAcentral describes it as "long non-coding RNA (ACOM_LNC038433)". Lineage: Eukaryota; Viridiplantae; Streptophyta; Magnoliopsida; Poales; Bromeliaceae. The record is from RNAcentral.